GCUAUUUAGGUAGCGCCUCGUGAAUUCAUCUCCGGGGGUAGAGCACUGUUUCGGCUAGGGGGCCAUCCCGGCUUACCAACCCGAUGCAAACUGCGAAUACCGGAGAAUGUUAUCACGGGAGACACACGGCGGGUGCUAACGUCCGUCGUGAAGAGGGAAACAACCCAGACCGCCAGCUAAGGUCCCAAAGUCAUGGUUAAGUGGGAAACGAUGUGGGAAGGCCCAGACAGCCAGGAUGUUGGCUUAGAAGCAGCCAUCAUUUAAAGAAAGCGUAAUAGCUCACUGGUCGAGUCGGCCUGCGCGGAAGAUGUAACGGGGCUAAACCAUGCACCGAAGCUGCGG
This 342-nucleotide ribosomal RNA is filed under the name Salmonella enterica subsp. enterica serovar Weltevreden. Its description in RNAcentral is "partial 23S ribosomal RNA". It matches the Rfam family "Bacterial large subunit ribosomal RNA", at positions 865 to 1205 of the family's 2925-position model. The record is from RNAcentral. Lineage: Bacteria; Pseudomonadati; Pseudomonadota; Gammaproteobacteria; Enterobacterales; Enterobacteriaceae.